Molecule: long non-coding RNA, 1139 nt
Organism: Acanthopagrus latus (yellowfin seabream)
Lineage: Eukaryota; Metazoa; Chordata; Actinopteri; Spariformes; Sparidae
Exons: 3
Source: RefSeq, a predicted model, not a curated record
UUAAUAGAUACUUUCUGGGAGUCCGUGCAUUACAGUUUCAAGAAGUAGACAGUACAGUAUGCGAUGGAAGGAUAUAUUCACCAUGUUAAGCUUCAAGAAAACCACAUUGAGGGCGAAAUUGUGUCUGUCUGAAGGAAAACGAGAGAAGCAAGUCAUUCUUGGUAUCAUAUAUACGUUUCGUAGAGGCUGAUGAUGACAAGAUAAAAAGUCAACACUGCUCCUGCACUGCCAGAUCACCUGCGCGCAGGGUGCUGGAGACUGACUGCUGAUUUAGGAGUGGAAGCAGCUUGGGGCCUUUCCCUCUCAGCCAAUCGUGGUGUGACGACGCCCCUUUUCUGAAGGCUUAAAAGAGACUUGUCAUCAACACAGAUUCUCCGUGUUUUUAUUUCUGAUUAGCUCACAUGACUGCUGCUUUGCUGAGACACAGAACUGUGCAGCUCCUCUUGUGACCACUAGUGAGCAGCAGCAGGCACCCUGAUCUGUCACCAGGUAGCAGACUUGAGGAGAUAAAUAUUGCUCCAGCGGGGGACGUUACAGAGGGACCCUUUGGCCCAGUUUAAAGCCCUGUAAAGUGUUUGGACCAGAAGCCCUAAGUCCGUCCCCCUCAGCUCAGUGGCUCAGGGGCUCAGAGGUGUGGAUCGAUGAGCCCCUGACUCGACUGCACAGCAGCUACACAUUCUGUAAUGCAGUAAUGUAGUUCAUAAAUAUUGACCACACAGCUGAAAUGGCAGAUAUAAAUCCUGAAGGGACGUCCGUGGAGGAUAAUGGGAGAGAUGGAGGGCAACAGUGGACUACAGGAAACAGAUCAAACUGCUGACAUCCACCAUGCUGCAUCAGAGGUUCAUGAGGCUGAUUACAGCAGGUUAACAGGACAGAGCUGAAUAGAAUAAAUUAGAAACAUGUCAGAGUCAUAGCUUGUGUGUGUGUGUGUGUGUGUGUGUGUGUGUGUGUGUGUGUGUGUGUGUGUGUGUGUGUGUGUGUGUGUGUGUGAAUGGCCUCUUACCUGAUAAUGUCAACCUCUUUCAAAAUGUAGUGUUAAACUCUCCAACAUUUCCUUAUCUAUGUUUAUGGUUUUGCUGAAUUAUGUGUUAAAUUUGUGAAAUUGUCCAAUCAAAUAUACAAUAAAUACAAAUCCAAUA